UACGUAGGGGGCGAGCGUUAUCCGGAUUCAUUGGGCGUAAAGCGCGCGUAGGCGGCCGCCUAAGCGGAACCUCUAACCCCGGGGCUCAACCUCGGGCCGGGUUCCGGACUGGGCGGCUCGAGUGCGGUAGAGGAGAGCGGAAUUCCCGGUGUAGCGGUGGAAUGCGCAGAUAUCGGGAAGAACACCGAUGGCGAAGGCAGCUCUCUGGGCCGUCACUGACGCUGAGGCGCGAAAGCUGGGGGAGCGAAAGGG
RNAcentral lists this ribosomal RNA (252 nucleotides) under uncultured bacterium. RNAcentral's name for it is "partial 16S ribosomal RNA". It matches the Rfam family "Bacterial small subunit ribosomal RNA", at positions 524 to 776 of the family's 1533-position model. The record is from RNAcentral.